GCCGACGUGGCUCGACUUAGCUAGGCGCCGGUCUUGAUCGUGUUCAUUUGAUUUGGCGGAUGAUGCUGGUGCAAAUCCAGUCGUCGGCCCCA
Molecule: transfer RNA, 92 nt
Filed under: Planctomycetales bacterium
Lineage: Bacteria; Pseudomonadati; Planctomycetota; Planctomycetia; Planctomycetales
Description: tRNA-Ser
Source: RNAcentral